CUAGAGACGCUGGCGGCGUGCCUAAUACAUGCAAGUCGAACGAACUCUGGUAUUGAUUGGUGCUUGCAUCAUGAUUUACAUUUGAGUGAGUGGCGAACUGGUGAGUAACACGUGGGAAACCUGCCCAGAAGCGGGGGAUAACACCUGGAAACAGAUGCUAAUACCGCAUAACAACUUGGACCGCAGGGUCCGAGUUUGAAAGAUGGCUUCGGCUAUCACUUUUGGAUGGUCCCGCGGCGUAUUAGCUAGAUGGUGGGGUAACGGCUCACCAUGGCAAUGAUACGUAGCCGACCUGAGAGGGUAAUCGGCCACAUUGGGACUGAGACACGGCCCAAACUCCUACGGGAGGCAGCAGUAGGGAAUCUUCCACAAUGGACGAAAGUCUGAUGGAGCAACGCCGCGUGAGUGAAGAAGGGUUUCGGCUCGUAAAACUCUGUUGUUAAAGAAGAACAUAUCUGAGAGUAACUGUUCAGGUAUUGACGGUAUUUAACCAGAAAGCCACGGCUAACUACGUGCCAGCAGCCGCGGUAAUACGUAGGUGGCAAGCGUUGUCCGGAUUUAUUGGGCGUAAAGCGAGCGCAGGCGGUUUUUUAAGUCUGAUGUGAAAGCCUUCGGCUCUACCCGAAGAAGUGCAUCUGGAAACUGGGAAACUUGAGUGCAGAAGAGGACAGUGGAACUCCAUGUGUAGCGGUGAAAUGCGUAGAUAUAUGGAAGAACACCAGUGGCGAAGGCGGCUGUCUGGUCUGUAACUGACGCUGAGGCUCGAAAGUAUGGGUAGCAAACAGGAUUAGAUACCCUGGUAGUCCAUACCGUAAACGAUGAAUGCUAAGUGUUGGAGGGUUUCCGCCCUUCAGUGCUGCAGCUAACGCAUUAAGCAUUCCGCCUGGGGAGUACGGCCCGCAAGGCUGAAACUCAAAGGAAUUGACGGGGGCCCGCACAAGCGGUGGAGCAUGUGGUUUAAUUCGAAGCUACGCGAAGAACCUUACCAGGUCUUGACAUACUAUGCAAAUCUAAGAGAUUAGACGUUCCCUUCGGGGACAUGGAUACAGGUGGUGCAUGGUUGUCGUCAGCUCGUGUCGUGAGAUGUUGGGUUAAGUCCCGCAACGAGCGCAACCCUUAUUAUCAGUUGCCAGCAUUAAGUUGGGCACUCUGGUGAGACUGCCGGUGACAAACCGGAGGAAGGUGGGGAUGACGUCAAAUCAUCAUGCCCCUUAUGACCUGGGCUACACACGUGCUACAAUGGAUGGUACAACGAGUUGCGAACUCGCGAGAGUAAGCUAAUCUCUUAAAGCCAUUCUCAGUUCGGAUUGUAGGCUGCAACUCGCCUACAUGAAGUCGGAAUCGCUAGUAAUCGCGGAUCAGCAUGCCGCGGUGAAUACGUUCCCGGGCCUUGUACACACCGCCCGUCACACCAUGAGAGUUUGUAACACCCAAAGUCGGUGGGGUAACCUUUUAGGAACCAGCCGCCUAAGGUGGGACAGAUGAUUAGGGGAAGUCGAA
This 1500-nucleotide ribosomal RNA is filed under the name Lactiplantibacillus pentosus. RNAcentral describes it as "bacterial SSU rRNA". It matches the Rfam family "Bacterial small subunit ribosomal RNA". The record is from RNAcentral. Lineage: Bacteria; Bacillati; Bacillota; Bacilli; Lactobacillales; Lactobacillaceae.